This 952-nucleotide long non-coding RNA is filed under the name Bos taurus (domestic cattle). RNAcentral describes it as "long non-coding RNA NONBTAT011283". Lineage: Eukaryota; Metazoa; Chordata; Mammalia; Artiodactyla; Bovidae. The record is from RNAcentral.
UGCAUUUUAAUCUGGGACAGCGGGUGGAAAAUGGCAUCUGGUUAAUCAGAUGUUUCUAGAUUAUUUGAUGAUAUAACUUAACUCUGUUGAUGAUGAAAUGAAAAACUGCAUGUCUUCCCUAGAGCAGCAUUAUAAAGCAUUCUGCUUGGUACUUAAAAUUGAUUGUGCAUUAUAUUGGUUAAAGAGUGACAUUUUGAAAAUAAAAUUAAGGCUGGUUUGCAUUUGGUUGAAAAAGUUGUGCAUCUAUUUAAUACGAAUAUUAUUUUUCUUCUAGAACACAUUUGUAGUUUGCAUUUAAAAUAACUCAAUGUUUUUACUCAAUAUUGUUUUAAAAAUAAGAUGAAUAUGGAUAUAAUCAUUCACAAGGAAAAUAACUCUUAUGAGUGAGAUUGGUUGCUAUAUAUUUCCUUGGAAAAAUAAAAUGCAAUAUAUAUUUUAUUAAUGAUAGCAUAAGCAAUACCAUAGUAAAAAUACCAAAGUGGUUUAAUUUUUUUAAUUGAAAGUCUUUAUAAAGCAGUAGGAAGCAUUAUAUAUUAUUUCCUUUUACAUCUAGAGUUACAUUUAGAGAUGCUAUCGGAAUCCUGGAUCAAUAUCUGUUUAUUAUGAUUUAAGCUCCAUGACUUUGUUGCAUUAUGUUUAAUUUGUGUGUAUUUCCUUGAUUCACAACCUACAGUAAAUUCUUAUUACUUAGAUCUGGGCAAAAUGUCUUUAAAAUUAUCCAUAACUUCCAGGUAGUAGAAAAAAAUGAAUUUCAUAUUGAUGGUAAAGGAAAACAAACUGCUACCCAUGUGUGAUGCACAUAGAUUUAUUAUCUAAAUAAGUCUUGAAUUCCUCCUUCAAAUAUGAUUGGGAGUUAUAUUCUUUCUAGAAAAUUUCAUUUUCCAAGGGCGCAUUUGCAAAGAUAUCAGAGCAGCAAUUAAAAUAGCAAAUAGUCCAGCAAUUAUAACAGAGA